This 253-nucleotide ribosomal RNA is filed under the name uncultured bacterium. RNAcentral describes it as "partial 16S ribosomal RNA". It matches the Rfam family "Bacterial small subunit ribosomal RNA", at positions 524 to 776 of the family's 1533-position model. The record is from RNAcentral.
UACGGAGGGUGCAAGCGUCAAUCGGAAUUACUGGGCGUAAAGCGUGCGCAGGCGGUUUUGUAAGACAGAGGUGAAAUCCCCGGGCUCAACCUGGGAACUGCCUUUGUGACUGCAAGGCUGGAGUGCGGCAGAGGGGGGUAGAAUUCCACGUGUAGCAGUGAAAUGCGUGGAUAUGCGGAGGAACACCGAUGGCGAAGGCAAUCCCCUGGGCCUGCACUGACGCUCAUGCACGAAAGCGUGGGGAGCAAACAGG